This 557-nucleotide ribosomal RNA is filed under the name uncultured Bradyrhizobium sp. Its description in RNAcentral is "bacterial SSU rRNA". It matches the Rfam family "Bacterial small subunit ribosomal RNA", at positions 102 to 694 of the family's 1533-position model. Lineage: Bacteria; Pseudomonadati; Pseudomonadota; Alphaproteobacteria; Hyphomicrobiales; Nitrobacteraceae. The record is from RNAcentral.
ACGGGUGAGUAACGCGUGGGAACGUACCUUUUGGUUCGGAACAACACAGGGAAACUUGUGCUAAUACCGGAUAAGCCCUUACGGGGAAAGAUUUAUCGCCGAAAGAUCGGCCCGCGUCUGAUUAGCUAGUUGGUGAGGUAAUGGCUCACCAAGGCGACGAUCAGUAGCUGGUCUGAGAGGAUGAUCAGCCACAUUGGGACUGAGGCACGGCCCAAACUCCUACGGGAGGCAGCAGUGGGGAAUAUUGGACAAUGGGGGCAACCCUGAUCCAGCCAUGCCGCGUGAGUGAUGAAGGCCCUAGGGUUGUAAAGCUCUUUUGUGCGGGAAGAUAAUGACGGUACCGCAAGAAUAAGCUCCGGCUAACUUCGUGCCAGCAGCCGCGGUAAUACGAAGGGGGCUAGCGUUGCUCGGAAUCACUGGGCGUAAAGGGUGCGUAGGCGGGUCUUUAAGUCAGGGGUGAAAUCCUGGAGCUCAACUCCAGAACUGCCUUUGAUACUGAAGAUCUUGAGUUCGGGAGAGGUGAGUGGAACUGCGAGUGUAGAGGUGAAAUUCGUAGA